This 281-nucleotide unclassified non-coding RNA is filed under the name Hevea brasiliensis (rubber tree). Lineage: Eukaryota; Viridiplantae; Streptophyta; Magnoliopsida; Malpighiales; Euphorbiaceae. The record is from RNAcentral.
AAACAUCUUAAUUUUUUUUAAGCAAAAUUAUCAUGUUAAAAAUUAAAUGGAAUUACUGUUAAUUCAAAAAUCCAAUGAAUGUUUAAUAAUAUGAAUUAUUGAACUUAAAAUAUAUUGAUAGUUUAAAAUUAAAAUGUUUGUCCAAUUUAUCUCGAAACAGUAAAGUAGAAUUGAUGGAGAAUAAGAGGCCAAGAUGCAAUGACGGUCUAGAGUUUUUUCUUUUGGAAAGAAAGUUUGUGUUUCACUGUUGGUAUCUAUCUUUUAAUAGGACAAUAAAGAAU